UACGUAGGGGGCUAGCGUUGUCCGGAAUCAUUGGGCGUAAAGCGCGUGUAGGCGGCCCGGUAAGUCCGCUGUGAAAGUCGGGGGCUCAACCCUCGGAUGCCGGUGGAUACUGUCGGGCUAGAGUGCGGAAGAGGCGAGUGGAAUUCCUGGUGUAGCGGUGAAAUGCGCAGAUAUCUGGAGGAACACCGGUGGCGAAGGCGGCAUCCUGGACCGGUAUUGACGCUGAGGCGCGAAAGCUAGGGGAGCAAACGGG
RNAcentral lists this ribosomal RNA (253 nucleotides) under uncultured bacterium. RNAcentral describes it as "partial 16S ribosomal RNA". It matches the Rfam family "Bacterial small subunit ribosomal RNA", at positions 524 to 776 of the family's 1533-position model. The record is from RNAcentral.